UCCCUGGCAGUCCAGUGGUUAGGACUCUGCACUUCCACUGCAGGGGCACAGGUUCAAUUUCAGCUUAGGGAA
RNAcentral lists this transfer RNA (72 nucleotides) under Bos taurus (domestic cattle). It matches the Rfam family "tRNA". Rfam says of the family: Transfer RNA (tRNA) molecules are approximately 80 nucleotides in length. Their secondary structure includes four short double-helical elements and three loops (D, anti-codon, and T loops). Further hydrogen bonds mediate the characteristic L-shaped molecular structure. tRNAs have two regions of fundamental functional importance: the anti-codon, which is responsible for specific mRNA codon recognition, and the 3' end, to which the tRNAs corresponding amino acid is attached (by aminoacyl-tRNA synthetases). tRNAs cope with the degeneracy of the genetic code in two manners: having more than one tRNA (with a specific anti-codon) for a particular amino acid; and 'wobble' base-pairing, i.e. permitting non-standard base-pairing at the 3rd anti-codon position. RNAcentral also lists the same sequence under 3 other names. Lineage: Eukaryota; Metazoa; Chordata; Mammalia; Artiodactyla; Bovidae. The record is from Rfam by way of RNAcentral.